GGGGGGGGGGGGGGGGGGGGGGGGGGGAGGCAGGGGGGGCGGGGAGGCCCGGGUGGUGUGGGGUGCUCGAGUGGCGGGCGGGUGAGUGACGCGUGAGUCACCGGCCCUUGCCUGUGGGAGAACUUCGGGGACGUGGGGCUCAUACCGGAUCGGAGCUCCUGCUUCCUGGCUGCUGUUGGAACGUUUCGUCGGUUUGGGCUGGAUGCUCGGCUUCUCCUCUUGUUGGUGAGGUAGUGGCUUACCAAGGCUGUGACGGGUAGACGGCCUGAGAGGGUGACCGGCCACAGUGGGACUGAGAUACGGCCAGGACUGCUACGGGAGGAAGCAGUGGGGAAUAUUGAAAAAUGGGCGGAAGCCGGAUGCAGCAACUCCGCGUGAGGGAUGACGGCCUUCGGGUUGUAAACCGCUUUCGCCUGUGACGAAGCGUGAGUGACGGUAAUGGGUAAAGAAGCACCGGCUAACUACGUG
RNAcentral lists this ribosomal RNA (468 nucleotides) under uncultured bacterium. Its description in RNAcentral is "partial 16S ribosomal RNA". The stretch from base 58 to 468 matches the Rfam family "Bacterial small subunit ribosomal RNA", at positions 39 to 507 of the family's 1533-position model. The record is from RNAcentral.